This 720-nucleotide ribosomal RNA is filed under the name uncultured Serratia sp. RNAcentral's name for it is "bacterial SSU rRNA". It matches the Rfam family "Bacterial small subunit ribosomal RNA", at positions 774 to 1494 of the family's 1533-position model. Lineage: Bacteria; Pseudomonadati; Pseudomonadota; Gammaproteobacteria; Enterobacterales; Yersiniaceae. The record is from RNAcentral.
CAGAUUAGAUCCCUUGUAGUCCNCGCUGUAAACGAUUUGAUUUGGAGGUUGUGCCCUUGAGGGGUGGUUUCCGGAGUUAACGCGUUAAAUUCGNCCGCCUGGGNAGUACGNCCGCAAGGUUAAGACUCAAAUGAAUUGACGGGGGGCCCGCACAAGCGGUGGAGCAUGUGGUUUAAUUCGAUGCAACGCGAAGAACCUUACCUACUCUUGACAUCCAGAGAACUUUCCAGAGAUGGAUUGGUGCUUCGGGAACUCUGAGACAGGUGCUGCAUGGCUGUCGUCAGCUCGUGUUGUGAAAUGUUGGGUUAAGUCCCGCAACGAGCGCAACCCUUAUCCUUUGUUGCCAGCGGUUCGGCCGGGAACUCAAAGGAGACUGCCAGUGAUAAACUGGAGGAAGGUGGGGAUGACGUCAAGUCAUCAUGGGCCCUUACGAGUAGGGCUACACACGUGCUACAAUGGCAUAUACAAAGAGAAGCGACCUCGCGAGAGCAAGCGGACCUCAUAAAGUAUGUCGUAGUCCGGAUUGGAGUCUGCAACUCGACUCCAUGAAGUCGGAAUCGCUAGUAAUCGUAGAUCAGAAUGCUACGGUGAAUACGUUCCCGGGCCUUGUACACACCGCCCGUCACACCAUGGGAGUGGGUUGCAAAAGAAGUAGGUAGCUUAACCUUCGGGAGGGCGCUUACCACUUUGUGAUUCAUGACUGGGGUGAAGUCGUAACAG